AUUGAACGCUGGCGGCAUGCUUUACACAUGCAAGUCGAACGGUAACAGGCCGCAAGGUGCUGACGAGUGGCGAACGGGUGCGUAAUGCAUCGGAACGUGCCCAGUCGUGGGGGAUAACUACUCGAAAGAGUAGCUAAUACCGCAUACGAUCUAUGGAUGAAAGCGGGGGACCGUAAGGCCUCGCGCGAUUGGAGCGGCCGAUGUCAGAUUAGGUAGUUGGUGGGGUAAAGGCUCACCAAGCCAACGAUCUGUAGCUGGUCUGAGAGGACGACCAGCCACACUGGGACUGAGGCACGGCCCAGACUCCUACGGGAGGCAGCAGUGGGGAAUUUUGGACAAAGGGCGCAAGCCUGAUCCAGCAAUGCCGCGUGCAGGAAGAAGGCCUUCGGGUUGUAAACUGCUUUUGUACGGAACGAAACGGCUCUGGUUAAUACCCGGGGCUAAUGACGGUACCGUAAGAAUAAGCACCGGCUAACUACGUG
RNAcentral lists this ribosomal RNA (482 nucleotides) under uncultured bacterium. Its description in RNAcentral is "partial 16S ribosomal RNA". It matches the Rfam family "Bacterial small subunit ribosomal RNA", at positions 30 to 507 of the family's 1533-position model. The record is from RNAcentral.